UACGGAGGGUGCGAGCGUUGUUCGGAAUUACUGGGCGUAAAGCGCGCGUAGGCGGGUUUUCAAGUCAAUUGUGAAAUCCCGGGGCUCAACCCCGGACGUGCAGUUGAAACUGUUAAUCUUGAAUACCUAAGAGGAUGGCGGAAUUCCCGGUGUAGGAGUGAAAUCCGUAGAUAUCGGGAGGAACACCCGAGGCGAAGGCGGCCAUCUGGUGGUGUAUUGACGCUGAGGCGCGAAAGCGUGGGGAGCAAACAGG
This 253-nucleotide unclassified non-coding RNA is filed under the name uncultured Oligoflexaceae bacterium. RNAcentral's name for it is "contains 16S-23S intergenic spacer region". It matches the Rfam family "Bacterial small subunit ribosomal RNA", at positions 524 to 776 of the family's 1533-position model. The record is from RNAcentral. Lineage: Bacteria; Pseudomonadati; Bdellovibrionota; Oligoflexia; Oligoflexales; Oligoflexaceae.